GCGAAAGUGGCGGAACCGGUAGACGCGCCAGCCUUAGGAGCUGGUGGCCGCAAGGCCGUGGGGGUUCGAGUCCCCCCUUUCGCA
RNAcentral lists this transfer RNA (84 nucleotides) under Gemmatimonadota bacterium. RNAcentral's name for it is "tRNA-Leu". It matches the Rfam family "tRNA". Rfam says of the family: Transfer RNA (tRNA) molecules are approximately 80 nucleotides in length. Their secondary structure includes four short double-helical elements and three loops (D, anti-codon, and T loops). Lineage: Bacteria; Pseudomonadati; Gemmatimonadota. The record is from RNAcentral.